Molecule: transfer RNA, 68 nt
Filed under: Domecia hispida
Lineage: Eukaryota; Metazoa; Arthropoda; Malacostraca; Decapoda; Domeciidae
Description: tRNA-Pro
Source: RNAcentral
CAGAGAAUAGUUUUAAAAAAAAUAUUAGUUUUGGGAACUGAAGAUAGAUUAUUAUAAUUUUUCUCUGA